AGGUGAUGAUGACGCCAGCCAGGAUGACGCCAUGUCAGUUGAUACAGAAUCAGACACAGAUCUCCAAGUUAUCGAGUCUUUGGGGGAAGUUGACAAGCAUCCCGGUGACCAGUGUUGCGGCAGUCUGCAUUGCAAAGGACGAGGAUCACUACCUGAGUUGGACAAUCAUCUACAUGUAUAGACUUUCGAUGACUGCUGGUUUGUGUCAUAUGGUUUAAGGGAAUGCUCUAUAGAUUUGUUUUGAUUUGUUUUAAAUUAUUAAUGCUUAGGCUGAUGUCCAAACUAAAAUUCCAAUAGUAUUGCAAUGCAAGGCUGGAAAUCAUUGGAUAUAACUGCUUGCAUAAACUUGCACACUAAUAUUUUGCACCUUAGCCAUGUUACUAGCACAGGGCUGGAAUUCUUUUACACAGUUAUGGGAUCUAGAGUCAACUCAGUAUCACUGCUUAUAUUAACUAUCACUGCUUUUGUCAUCUUGCACACUAAUAUUUUUGCACUUUGGCACAGGACUACAAUUCGUUGACUUGGUUAUGGAGUCACAAGCCAACUUUGAAGAAUUGCUCUGCCGCAAAAUAUACGAUAUUUUGAAAAUACCACUGCUUAUAUAUUAACUUGCACACUAAUGUUUUGCACUUUAGUACAGGAAUACAAUUCGUUGACUCGGUUAUGGAGUCAA
Long non-coding RNA from Strongylocentrotus purpuratus (purple sea urchin), 673 nucleotides. RefSeq lists it as uncharacterized. The transcript is spliced from 3 exons. NCBI's taxonomy places the organism in Eukaryota, Metazoa, Echinodermata, Echinoidea, Camarodonta, Strongylocentrotidae. The record is from RefSeq and is a predicted model, not a curated record.